CAGCCGCCGCGGGAAUACGAAGGGGGCUAGCGUUGUUCGGAUUUACUGGGCGUAAAGCGCACGUAGGCGGACUUUUAAGUCAGGGGUGAAAUCCCGGGGCUCAACCCCGGAACUGCCUUUGAUACUGGAAGUCUUGAGUAUGGUAUAGGUGAGUGGAAUUCCGAGUGUAGAGGUGAAAUUCGUAGAUAUUCGGAGGAACACCAGUGGCGAAGGCGGCUCACUGGACCAUUACUGACGCUGAGGUGCGAAAGCGUGGGGAGCAAACAGGAUUAGAUACCCCGGUAGUCCCUGUCUCUUAUAC
RNAcentral lists this ribosomal RNA (301 nucleotides) under uncultured bacterium. Its description in RNAcentral is "partial 16S ribosomal RNA". It matches the Rfam family "Bacterial small subunit ribosomal RNA", at positions 509 to 807 of the family's 1533-position model. The record is from RNAcentral.